UACGGGGGGGGCAAGCGUUGUUCGGAAUUACUGGGCGUAAAGGGCUCGUAGGCGGCCAACUAAGUCGGACGUGAAAUCCCUCGGCUUAACCGGGGAACUGCGUCCGAUACUGGAUGGCUUGAGUUUGGGAGAGGGAAGUGGAAUUUCAGGUGUAGCGGUGAAAUGCGUAGAUAUCUGAAGGAACAUCAGUGGCGAAAGCGACUUCCUGGACCAAUACUGACGCUCAUGUGCGAAAGCGUGGGGAGCAAACAGG
Molecule: ribosomal RNA, 253 nt
Filed under: uncultured bacterium
Lineage: Bacteria
Description: partial 16S ribosomal RNA
Rfam family: Bacterial small subunit ribosomal RNA
Source: RNAcentral